This 459-nucleotide ribosomal RNA is filed under the name uncultured Treponema sp. RNAcentral describes it as "partial 16S ribosomal RNA". It matches the Rfam family "Bacterial small subunit ribosomal RNA", at positions 341 to 792 of the family's 1533-position model. Lineage: Bacteria; Pseudomonadati; Spirochaetota; Spirochaetia; Treponematales; Treponemataceae. The record is from RNAcentral.
ACGGAAGGCAGCAGCUAAGAAUAUUCCGCAAUGGACGAAAGUCUGACGGAGCGACGCCGCGUGGAUGAUGAAGGUCGAAAGAUUGUAAAAUCCUUUUGGAAGUGAGGAAUAAGUGUGGUAGGGAAUGACCGCAUGGGGACUGUAGCUUCUGAAUAAGCAACGGCUAAUUACGUGCCAGCAGCCGCGGUAACACGUAAGUUGCGAGCGUUGUUCGGAAUUAUUGGGCGUAAAGGGCAUGUAGGCGGUCAUGAAAGUCUGUAGUGAAAUCCCUGGGCUUAACCCAGGAACUGCUAUGGAAACUGCAAGACUAGAAUUACUGAAGGGCAACUGGAAUUCCAAGUGUAGGGGUGAAAUCUGUAGAUAUUUGGAAGAACACCAAUGGCGAAGGCAAGUUGCUGGCAGAUAAUUGACGCUGAGGUGCGAAGGUGCGGGGAGCAAACAGGAUUAGAUACCCUGGUA